Molecule: long non-coding RNA, 263 nt
Filed under: Setaria viridis
Lineage: Eukaryota; Viridiplantae; Streptophyta; Magnoliopsida; Poales; Poaceae
Description: long non-coding RNA (SVIR_LNC006458)
Source: RNAcentral
ACCUACAUUCCGACAUUAAAAUCUUAGUGAAAUAAAUUCAACCAUGCAGUUGCAAUUGGGGCCAUAUUCGAGUUGCGAUCUGUCUACACUCAGAGUUACAAAUACUAUAGACCACCUGCUUGCUAAUUUAAUGCGACUAGGAAGCAGAUGGUCUAUAGUAUUUGCAACUCAGAUUGUAGACUGAUUGCAACUCGAACCAUUGGCCAGUAGCAACUACAGGGUCGCAUUUAUUGCACCGAGAUAGUACUGUCAGGAAGUAGGUG